GGCUGAAAUUCGCCUUCCAUGAAGCCGGAAUUGCUGUAAUGGCAGGUCAGCAUACUGCCGUGAAUACGUUCCCGGGCCUUGUACACACCGCCCGUCACACCAUGAGAGUUGGGAAUACCCGAAGCCUGUGAGCUAACUAAUAGAGGCAGCAGUCGAAGGUAGAAUCAAUGAUUGGGGUGAAGUCGUAACAAGGUACC
Molecule: ribosomal RNA, 197 nt
Filed under: uncultured bacterium
Lineage: Bacteria
Description: partial 16S ribosomal RNA
Rfam family: Bacterial small subunit ribosomal RNA
Source: RNAcentral